RNAcentral lists this long non-coding RNA (4780 nucleotides) under Homo sapiens (human). Its description in RNAcentral is "HSALNT0359203". The record is from RNAcentral. Lineage: Eukaryota; Metazoa; Chordata; Mammalia; Primates; Hominidae.
AAGGAGCGAACCGUUUCAGGAGGAAUACGGGAGGAAGACAAUUAUUUGCAGAGGUGUCAGGUUUGCUAAUCCUGUCCCCAGUGAGCAAGAUACCUUUGCAAGGGGAUUUGAUGCAGAUGAUCAUCAUGGCUUGGAGAAACAAUGAAGGAAGCAAAGUAUGCCAUCUAUGCUGCGGGAGGUAACUCCAGAAGACCCCAGAGAGAACGAGUUUGGACUUUUAACUGAGGGCCAUUGGAAACUACUGAAGAGUUUUAGGCAGCAUAAGAACUACUAGAUUUUCAUUGUGGGAGGAUCCUCAGCAGCAGCCUCAGAAAGGAGAUUGGGGAAGGAGAUCCCUAGUCAGGGAGACCAAGAAGACUACUGGAAAAAAACAGGUAAGAAGUGAUAAGGGACUGAGUGAAGGACACAGCAGUUGGAAUAAGAGCACUGGGUGGAUUCAAGAAUUAUUUUAGAAUCUAUAGGACUUGGUCAAUGGGAGGGUAAGGGAGAGGUGUGGCUGGGCUGAUUUCUAUGUUUCCAGGUCGUGCAGCUGGGGAUGUGGUUUCAACAUGCAGAUCUAAGCAUAUCCCCAUUCCAUCCUGAGCUGCAUCACUCCCAGGCUGGGUUGGGUGCCUCUCUGGUGUAAGCCAUAUCACUCUUUGCCUAUCUCAGUCUAAUACUACACUUAACACGUUUCAUUGCAAUUUUUUUGGCAGGGGAAUCCUCAAGGACCUGCAAACAAGAAACCAAAUCCCCCCACUCCCCCCAGCCAAAAUGUGUUCAUUUUGACCAGCUGUGUGUGUGUUUUAAAUUAAAAGUUUGAAUUAGAAAGCAAGUAGGAUAAAUUUAUAUACUUAGAUGUAUAAAUUUAAAUACCUGGCCCCUGAAGCACUUCUGAUAGGUCUCAGCUACCCAAACAAGAAGAACGGAAUCUUUGAAUCCCCAGGACUCAACGCAGUACUGGACACAAAAUGGGAGCUGAAAAAGUGUGUGUGGAGUCAGUGAAGGAUGCAAUUUCCCCUCAUUGUAGAGAUGAAGAAGCUGAGGCUGCAGAGUAGAAUAGGAGCAGACAGUGGGGAUUGUCUUCAAAGUAGGUUCCUAGUUCCUGGCUCAGAGGUCCCAGUUUUUGUUGACCAUGGACAGUAAAACUCCCUGGGGAAGCGGGCCCAGUCUCAGGAGAGCAGUUUUGAUUGGUCUAAGUUUGUGAUUGACUUAGGAACUGUCUGGCCAAUGAAAUAUGAGGGAAAGCCUGGGGGAUUCUGGGAAAGGUUUUGUAAACCAAAAAGUAUUUGAGACAUGUCUCAAUUUUAGAGGAUUAUUUUGCCAAGGUUAAGGACCAUUGCCCAUACAGCCUCAGGAGGCCCUGAGAACAUAUACCCAAGGUGGUUGGGGUACAGCUUCAUUUUAUACAUUUUAGGGAGUCAGAAGUUACAGGCAAAGACAUAAAUCAAUACAUGCAAGGUAUACAUUGGUUUGGCCCAGAGAGGUGGAACAUCUAGAAGCAGGAGCUUCCAGGUCAUAAGUGGAUUCAAAGAUUUCCUGAUUGGCAGUUUGUUGACAGAGUUAAGCUCCGCCCCAAGAGUUGAUGUCAGCUUAAAUUAAGGUAAGGGGGUGCUUUGUGGAAACCAACGUUCUUAUCAUGUAUAUGAAGCCUCCAGGCUUCAGCGAGAAUAGAUGUGAAUGUCUUUUAUUGGACCUUAAAAAUUGUCAGACUUUCUGGAAAAGACCUAAUAAGGGAAUCUUUACAGAACAUAAUUUUUUCACCCACAAGUGACAGCUUGGCAGGGCCGUUUCAAAAUAUGUAAAGAAAUAUAAUUUGAGGUAAAAUAAUUUGAUUUCCUUCAGGGCCCACUGGCUGUCACGUGAUGUUAUACCAGAGUCAGAUUGGAAUCUGUUGUCUUACUGCUACCAAGAUUUUGUCUUGACAGUCUUAAGAUUCCUGUUUUAAUGUCAGUUCUGGUCAGUUGUGUCUAAACUCAAAAGGAAGGAGGGUAUAAUGAGGCAUGUUUCACCCCCUCUUUCCCAUCAUGGCCUGAACUAGUUUUUCAGGUGUUUUUUUGAAUCCCUUUGGCCAAGGGGGAUCCAUUCAGUCAGCUGAGGGGCUUAGAAUUUUAUUUUUGGUUUAUAGUUUCCUCUUGAUUAAAGAAGGAAGUCUGCAAUGUGGGUUUGUAACCUAGUUUUUAAUAACUUUACAUCAGACUUGUAAUUUAUUGUUACUUUCUGAAGACACACUGAUAAAACCUCUCUACCAUGACGUCAUUGCAUGUUUUCACGGUAGAAAUUCUAAUUAUUUGCUAAAGUGAAAAUAAAGUCAAACAUGCCUAAGUCUUUAUCUGCUUAACCACAUUAGCUAUGGUGUGAUCAUGGAAAAAGGGCACACAUCAAGACAUAGUUUUAAAAGAAUUAUUAGAAUGUUGACUACCAGAAUAAUAUUGACCCAGGAUGAACUUCUUUUUUUAUUUUUUCAUUUCUGCUUUUUUGUUAUUGGUGUUUAUAACUUCCUCAGAGAUUCACCAUGGGGUUACCUCAUACAAGAGACUACCUUCAGGUACAGAUUUUCAUCACCAUACUUUCUGUAGGUGCCCCUGGCAGUCAGAGGUUACCACAAACAAAAAGUACUUUGGUGAGUAGUGUUAUAGUGAGAUUCUGAUAACUCAUUCAUCAGAGCCUCUCACUUAAGUACGAAGAUAAGUACCAGAGUUACAAUCUUGAGCAAAAGCAAAGUCCCUGUCUUCAUCUGUGUUACAGAAAAGACAGGCCUUAAGCACACACUCACCAAAAAAGCAAAGACAUUAGUGCAUACUUCAAAAUGCAUAAAAUAUAAGACCCCCUAGUGCCAUGAGAGUACAUACCAGGCUGACCUGGCCUAAAUAUAAGUUUCAUCAGAGGAAGUGGUAUUUAAACUGAGUUCUGAAUAUUGAAUAGAAGUUAAUUAAGGUUGGAGUAGAUGUAGAAGAGGUAUUCACAGUGUAUCUCAUAUCAUAAAUAUGGUAGGUAAUUCAUAAAUACUUGUUGAUUGAAAGAAUGAAUUGAACCUAUCCCCCCAGUAGGGCAAAUCAAGUGUAAGGAAAAUUAUUCACUGGAACAAACCAUUGGAGAAAGUUUAGGCCAGUUUGUCUAAUCAUCAGUCUUUCACAAUAAUUUGUUACAGACCAGAGGCUCCCCAUGUAAUAAAAAUUAACAUGGAGCCAAGCAGAUUCCUCAGACAAGGCUUUUAUCUGGUGUUUGUGCUUGAGUGCAAGGGAGACAGCAGAGGCACAAGGACCUUCUGGUGACUCUCUGAAAAAGAGCUGGUAGGGAUUUUUUAUGAGACAAAGUGCUGGAAUUGACAAUAGGGGUAAGAUAUGCAGGCUGGGCUGGACAAAGCAUGUGAGGGGUAGGGUAUGUAGCAUAGCGCGUUGCUAUGUUUUUCUUGAGUAAUGGGCCAACUGGUUAUCUGGGAGCAGCAAAGAGGGUUUAAAUCAGAUUUUCGGCAUUCCUUCCCAGGUAGGACACUCUGCAACCUUGGUUUGAUUUUGGAUCCCCCAAAGCCAGUUUCUGAAAUUCUGUAAGUAAAAGACAUGGUUAAACAUUAUGAGAGCAAAGAAGAAUGGCUGUGUUCUUUGUGUGACUAAAGCCUUGGAGUUAGCAGGUAUAGCAUCAGUGAGGUAGUGGUGUGGGUUUUGUGGUCAGUGGGAAUGUAUGAAAGAAUGCUCUACUGGGGGCAAGCUGAAGCCAAGCCCAGUUCUUGCGCUUUCUCAAAUUGACCACAUGAGAGUAAUCCCUUUCUCUUUACGAUUCUUUCUCUCUCGUGAUGGAGUACUUUCUUCAAACACAUACCCAAGAUACUCUUGUUGUCUAUUUUUUUUUUUCGUUUUAUUUUGGUCAACAAAGAGGGGAAAAUAUAGCAUCAGCAGCUGCCACUACCAGUAAUAACUGUGUGUGCAGGAGUGAAACGCACCCCACGUGAAUAAACUUCCUGUUAGGCACUAAUAUUUUUUGAGCACCUACUAAUUAUGAUAUGGAGGGGGAUGGUGCAUGGCUGCCUAGAAAUUUGAUAGGCUGUAAUCAGAAUGACCCCAAGUAUUGGACAUAAUUUCAAGAAUGGAGCUGAGUUUAGCAAAAUUAUAACAGUCAUAUUAUCUAACAUGUAUUAAAUCCUCAUGUGCCAUAUACUGUCCUAAGCACACUAUAAAUAUCAUUUUUUUAAAAUAAGUAUCACAAUAGCCAUGUGAAUUGGGUACUAUUAUUAUCCUCAUAUUCCAGAUUAGGGAACUGGAGCUUAUAGAGGCUCAUUAGCUUAUCCAAGUUCACACAGUGGAUAAUAGUGUCACUGACAUUUGAACACAGGUCUGGAUGGCUCCAGAACUUACUGUGGUAUAAAACAAAAUAUAUUUGGUCUUUGUCCCAAUUCCUGUCAGAGAUCCUGAAACACUCAAAAUUUCCCGGAGUGUGGGGAAAAAAAGGAGUGUUUUGUUAUUCAUAAUGGCCUCUUUUUAUCAUACCUGACUUUAUGCUAAUAAGUUGACUUGUGGUGGGCCCCCUGUGAUAGACUCAGGAUAGGGCCAGACAUCAGAAAAAUCAAGUGAUUAGGGAAUUAGAGGGUUGGAAAUUUCAGCCUCACCCACCAACCUCCAGGAAAGGGGUGGGGGCUAGAGAUUAAGCUCUCUAGAACUCUUGAAUAAUGCAAUUUAAUGAACUCCCAGGUUGCUGAACACAUAAAGGUGCUGGGAGGGUAGUCGCCCAUCCAUGCCUUGCUCUAUGUAUGUAUUAGUUCAUUCUUGCAUUGCUAUAAGGAAACACUUGAGACUGGGUAAUUUAU